GGCCUAAUGGUCUAGAAGUAUGAUACUCGCUUUGGGUGUUUACCGAUUGCGAGUGGUCCUGGGUUCAAUUCCCAGUUAGGCCC
Molecule: non-coding RNA, 83 nt
Organism: Trametes meyenii
Lineage: Eukaryota; Fungi; Basidiomycota; Agaricomycetes; Polyporales; Polyporaceae
Source: the annotation of a GenBank genome assembly